This 868-nucleotide ribosomal RNA is filed under the name Escherichia coli. RNAcentral describes it as "partial 23S ribosomal RNA". It matches the Rfam family "Bacterial large subunit ribosomal RNA", at positions 1 to 902 of the family's 2925-position model. The record is from RNAcentral. Lineage: Bacteria; Pseudomonadati; Pseudomonadota; Gammaproteobacteria; Enterobacterales; Enterobacteriaceae.
GGGUUGUGAGGUUAAGCGACUAAGCGUACACGGUGGAUGCCCUGGCAGUCAGAGGCGAUGAAGGACGUGCUAAUCUGCGAUAAGCGUCGGUAAGGUGAUAUGAACCGUUAUAACCGGCGAUUUCCGAAUGGGGAAACCCAGUGUGUUUCGACACACUAUCAUUAACUGAAUCCAUAGGUUAAUGAGGCGAACCGGGGGAACUGAAACAUCUAAGUACCCCGAGGAAAAGAAAUCAACCGAGAUUCCCCCAGUAGCGGCGAGCGAACGGGGAGCAGCCCAGAGCCUGAAUCAGUGUGUGUGUUAGUGGAAGCGUCUGGAAAGGCGCGCGAUACAGGGUGACAGCCCCGUACACAAAAAUGCACAUACUGUGAGCUCGAUGAGUAGGGCGGGACACGUGGUAUCCUGUCUGAAUAUGGGGGGACCAUCCUCCAAGGCUAAAUACUCCUGACUGACCGAUAGUGAACCAGUACCGUGAGGGAAAGGCGAAAAGAACCCCGGCGAGGGGAGUGAAAAAGAACCUGAAACCGUGUACGUACAAGCAGUGGGAGCACGCUUCGGCGUGUGACUGCGUACCUUUUGUAUAAUGGGUCAGCGACUUAUAUUCUGUAGCAAGGUUAACCGAAUAGGGGAGCCGAAGGGAAACCGAGUCUUAACUGGGCGUUAAGUUGCAGGGUAUAGACCCGAAACCCGGUGAUCUAGCCAUGGGCAGGUUGAAGGUUGGGUAACACUAACUGGAGGACCGAACCGACUAAUGUUGAAAAAUUAGCGGAUGACUUGUGGCUGGGGGUGAAAGGCCAAUCAAACCGGGAGAUAGCUGGUUCUCCCCGAAAGCUAUUUAGGUAGCGCCUCGUGAAUUCAUCUCCGGGGG